GAGUUGUUGCUUCCACAUGAUUCAUUUUAUUUGUGACAAUCACCAGAGCUCGACCAUUUUUACCUUCAUCAGAAGCCAUUUAUUUGGGCUAAUAACUUCUUCUUCUCAAGUUUUCAGCAGAACAAAGCUUGAUAAUUUCUGUCAGCAAUGGCGGCGUCUUCAGCUAUAGCUUUAAGUUCUACAGUUUUCAUCAACAAGAAAGAUGUGGGUCUAUCUUCUUUCUCUUCGCAAUCUUCAUUUUCCGUUCAAACUGUUCGGAAAAGGAUUUCCAAGAAAAUCGUUUCUGUGAUGACACCACAACAGACUGAAAGAAAACCUUCCACAACUGGAUCAGUAAAGACUGGGAUGACUAUGACUGAGAAGAUAUUAGCUAAGGCUUCUGAUAAGCCUGAAGUGAGCCCCGGUGAUAAUGUUUGGGUCAGUGUUGAUGUUCUGAUGACCCAUGAUGUUUGUGGCCCUGGUUCUAUUGGAAUUUUCAAGAAAGAGUUUGGGCAGAAUGCUAAGGUCUGGGAUAGUGAAAAGCUUGUCAUUAUACCUGAUCAUUACAUAUUCACAACUGAUGAACGAGCAAACCGAAACGUGGAUAUCUUGAGGGAUUUCUGCAAUGAACAGAAUAUUAAAUACUUCUAUGACAUUAAAGAUCUGGGGAACUUCCGUGCUAAUCCUAAUUACAAAGGUGUCUGCCACGUUGCUCUUGCAGAAGGUCACUGCAGACCUGGAGAGGUUUUGGUGGGUACAGACUCCCACACAUGUACUGCUGGAGCUUUCGGGCUAUUCGCCACUGGGAUUGGCAAUACUGAUGCAGGUUUUGUGUUGGGUACUGGCAAGAUUCUGCUCAAGGUGCCUCCAACUUUGAGAUUUGUAAUGGAUGGUGAAAUGCCCUAUUACUUGCUUGCUAAGGACUUAAUUUUGCAAAGUAUUGGUGAAAUUUCAGUGGCUGGUGCUACUUAUAAAGCAAUGGAGUUUGUUGGCACGACAGUUGAAAGCUUGAUUAUGGAAGAAAGAAUGACAUUAUGCAGUAUGGUUAUUGAAGCUGGUGGAAAAAAUGGUGUCAUCCGAGCUGAUAAAACGACUAUGACUAUCUUGAGGGAAGGACUUCUGUGCCCUAUGAACCUGUUUAUAGUGAUGAAGGAGCCAGAUAUAUUAAGGAGUACAGAUUCGAUGUUUCCAAGUUGGAGCCCUUAGUGGCUAAGCAUCAUUCUCCUGAUAAUCGUGCUUUGGCAAGAGAAUGCAAAGAUGUCAAAAUCGAUAGAGUAUAUAUUGGAUCUUGUACUGGUGGAAAAACAGAGGACUUCAUGGCUGCUGCAAAAGUUUUUCUAGCUUCUGGAAAGAAGGUAAAGGUUCCAACUUUCCUUGUUCCUGCUACCCAAAAGGUAUGGAUGGACAUUUAUAGCCUCCCUGUUCCAGGAUCAGGCGGCAAAACAUGUUCCCAGAUUUUUGAGGAGGCUGGCUGUGAUACACCUGCAAGUCCUAGUUGUGGUGCUUGUUUGGGUGGACCUAAAGACACGUAUGCACGCAUGAAUGAAGCUCAGGUGUGUGUAUCAACCACGAACAGGAACUUCCCUGGUCGAAUGGGGCACAAGGAAGGCCAGAUCUAUCUUGCAUCCCCAUAUACAGCUGCAGCAUCAGCAUUGACUGGUUAUGUCACUGAUCCUCGAGAGUUUUUGCACUGAAGUUGCUCCAUGACCUCGUUUUAGGAGUUGGGAUUGUGUUGUACACUAAAAGGUCAUUUGGUAGAGUGUAUAAAAAUAAUGCUAAAUAGAGUGUAUUAGUAAUGCUUGCAUUAGUUAGGAAUUGGGAUGGUGUUGUACACUGAGGGAUCGUUUGGUAGAGUGUAUAGAAAUAAUGCUAAAUAGAGUGUAUUAGUUAUGCUUGCAUUAAUUAUAGAUAGAAUAUUUCUUAUGCAUUGUUUGGUUCAGUGUAUUUAAAAUAGCAUGCACUGCAUAAAAAUAUUUAUUUACAAAAAUAUCCUCAACAAUUUUGGUGGAAAAGAUGCAAAAAAGAUUU
RNA transcript from Solanum dulcamara, 2007 nucleotides. It is a transcript of the gene named 3-isopropylmalate dehydratase large subunit, chloroplastic-like, with no coding region annotated. NCBI's taxonomy places the organism in Eukaryota, Viridiplantae, Streptophyta, Magnoliopsida, Solanales, Solanaceae. The transcript is spliced from 15 exons. The record is from RefSeq and is a predicted model, not a curated record.